AAUGAACGCUGGCGGCAGGCCUAACACAUGCAAGUCGAACGGGUCCUUCGGGACUAGUGGCGGACGGGUGAGUAACGCGUGGGAACGUGCCCCUUGGUACGGAAUAGCCCCGGGAAACUGGGAGUAAUACCGUAUGUGGUCGAGAGACGAAAGAUUUAUCGCCAAGGGAUCGGCCCGCGUUGGAUUAGGUAGUUGGUGGGGGAAUGGCCUACCAAGCCGACGAUCCAUAGCUGGUUUGAGAGGAUGAUCAGCCACACUGGGACUGAGACACGGCCCAGACUCCUACGGGAGGCAGCAGUGGGGAAUUUUAGACAAUGGGGGAAACCCUGAUCUAGCCAUGCCGCGUGAUCGAUGAAGGCCUUAGGGUUGUAAAGAUCUUUCAGGUGGGAAGAUAAUGACUGUACCACCAGAAGAAGCCCCGGCUAACUCCGUGCCAGCCGCCGCUGUAA
This 449-nucleotide ribosomal RNA is filed under the name uncultured bacterium. RNAcentral describes it as "partial 16S ribosomal RNA". It matches the Rfam family "Bacterial small subunit ribosomal RNA", at positions 29 to 523 of the family's 1533-position model. The record is from RNAcentral.